Molecule: ribosomal RNA, 406 nt
Filed under: uncultured bacterium
Lineage: Bacteria
Description: partial 16S ribosomal RNA
Rfam family: Bacterial small subunit ribosomal RNA
Source: RNAcentral
AUUGAACGCUGGCGGCAGGCCUAACACAUGCAAGUCGAUCGAGCGGCGGACGGGUGAGUAAUGUCUGGGAAACUGCCUGAUGGAUGGGGAUAACUACUGGAAACGGUAGCUAAUACCGCAUACCAUCAGAUGUGCCCAGAUGGGAUUAGCUAGUAGGUGGGGUAACGGCUCACCUAGGCGACGAUCCCUAGCUGGUCUGAGAGGAUGACCAGCCACACUGGAACUGAGACACGGUCCAGACUCCUACGGGAGGCAGCAGUGGGGAAUAUUGCACAAUGGGCGAAAGCCUGAUGAAGCCAUGCCGCGUGUAUGAAGAAGGCCUUCGGGUUGUAAAGUACUUUAAGCGGGGAGGCGUUACCCGCAGAAGAAGCACCGGCUAACUCCGUGCCAGCCGCCGCGGUAAUAC